Molecule: ribosomal RNA, 494 nt
Filed under: uncultured bacterium
Lineage: Bacteria
Description: partial 16S ribosomal RNA
Rfam family: Bacterial small subunit ribosomal RNA
Source: RNAcentral
GACGAACGCUGGCGGCGUGCUUAACACAUGCAAGUCGAACGGUGAAGCGCCUUCCUUUUUGGUGGGUGUGGAUGAGUGGCGAACGGGUGAGUAACACGUGAGUAACCUGCCCCCUUCUUCUGGAUAACCGCAUGAAAGUGUGGCUAAUACGGGAUAUUCUGGGUCUGUCGCAUGAUGGGUCUGGGAAAGAUAUUGUUUCGGUGGGGGAUGGGCUCGCGGCCUAUCAGCUUGUUGGUGGGGUGAUGGCCUAGCAAGGCGGUGACGGGUAGCCGGCCUGAGAGGGUAGACGGUCAUGAAGGGACUGGGACACGGCUGAGGCUCCUACGGGAGGCAGCAGUGGGGAAUAGUGCACAAUGGGCGCAAGCCUGAUGCAGCGACGCCGCGUGAGGGAUGGAGGCCUUCGGGUUGUGAACCUCUUUCGCCAGUGAAGCAGGCCUGCCUCGUUUGUGGGUGGGUUGACGGUAGCUGGAUAAGAAGCGCCGGCUAAGUACGUG